GUGGGGAAUCUUAGACAAUGGGCGCAAGCCUGAUCUAGCCAUGCCGCGUGAUCGAUGAAGGCCUUAGGGUUGUAAAGAUCUUUCGCUGGGGAAGAUAAUGACUGUACCCAGUAAAGAAGCCCCGGCUAACUCCGUGCCAGCAGCCGCGGUAAUACGGAGGGGGCUAGCGUUAUUCGGAAUUACUGGGCGUAAAGCGCACGUAGGCGGACUGGAAAGUUGGGGGUGAAAUCCCGGGGCUCAACCUCGGAACUGCCUUCAAAACUCCCAGUCUUGAGUGCGAGAGAGGUGAGUGGAAUUCCGAGUGUAGAGGUGAAAUUCGUAGAUAUUCGGAGGAACACCAGUGGCGAAGGCGGCUAUCUGGACGAGUAUUGACGCUGAGGCACGAAAGCGUGGGGAUCAAACAGGAUUAGAUACCCUUGUAGUCC
RNAcentral lists this ribosomal RNA (425 nucleotides) under uncultured bacterium. RNAcentral's name for it is "partial 16S ribosomal RNA". It matches the Rfam family "Bacterial small subunit ribosomal RNA", at positions 354 to 796 of the family's 1533-position model. The record is from RNAcentral.